GACGAACGCUGGCGGCGUGCUUAACACAUGCAAGUCACGGGGGCUCGCAAGGGCAACCGGCGAACGGGUGCGUAACACGUGAGCAACUUACCGAUUUGUCGGGGGAUAGCCGGCCCAACGGCCGGGUAAUACCGCAUACGCUCUUUGGGUGGAGUCACCUGAAGAGGAAACCUCCGGGGCAAAUCGAGGGCUCGCGGCCUAUCAGCUAGUUGGUGCGGGUAACGGCCCACCAAGGCGAUGA
RNAcentral lists this ribosomal RNA (241 nucleotides) under uncultured bacterium. Its description in RNAcentral is "partial 16S ribosomal RNA". It matches the Rfam family "Bacterial small subunit ribosomal RNA", at positions 28 to 279 of the family's 1533-position model. The record is from RNAcentral.